Molecule: ribosomal RNA, 492 nt
Filed under: uncultured bacterium
Lineage: Bacteria
Description: partial 16S ribosomal RNA
Rfam family: Bacterial small subunit ribosomal RNA
Source: RNAcentral
AGUGAACGCUGGCGGUAGGCCUAACACAUGCAAGUCGAACGGCAGCACAGUAAGAGCUUGCUCUUACGGGUGGCGAGUGGCGGACGGGUGAGGAAUACAUCGGAAUCUACUUUUUCGUGGGGGAUAACGUAGGGAAACUUACGCUAAUACCGCAUACGACCUACGGGUGAAAGCAGGGGAUCUUCGGACCUUGCGCGAUUGAAUGAGCCGAUGUCGGAUUAGCUAGUUGGCGGGGUAAAGGCCCACCAAGGCGACGAUCCGUAGCUGGUCUGAGAGGAUGAUCAGCCACACUGGGACUGAGGCACCGUCCAGAAUCCUAAGGGAAGCAGCAGUGGGGAAUAUUGGACAAUGGGCGCAAGCCUGAUCCAGCCAUACCGCGUGGGUGAAGAAGGCCUUCGGGUUGUAAAGCCCUUUUGUUGGGAAAGAAAAGCAGCAGGUUAAUACCCCGCUGUUCUGACGGUACCCAAAGAAUAAGCACCGGCUAACUUCGUG